This 492-nucleotide ribosomal RNA is filed under the name uncultured bacterium. Its description in RNAcentral is "partial 16S ribosomal RNA". It matches the Rfam family "Bacterial small subunit ribosomal RNA", at positions 29 to 507 of the family's 1533-position model. The record is from RNAcentral.
AGUGAACGCUGGCGGUAGGCCUAACACAUGCAAGUCGAACGGAAGCACAGUAAGAGCUUGCUCUUACGGGUGGCGAGUGGCGGACGGGUGAGGAAUACAUCGGAAUCUACUUUUUCGUGGGGGAUAACGUAGGGAAACUUACGCUAAUACCGCAUACGACCUACGGGUGAAAGCAGGGGAUCUUGGGACCUUGCGCGAUUGAAUGAGACGAUGUCGGAUUAGCUAGUUGGCGGGGUAAAGGCCCACCAAGGCGACGAUACGUAGCUGGUCUGAGAGGAUGAUCGGCCACACUGGAACUGAGACACGGUCCAGACUCCUACGGGAGGCAGCAGUGGGGAAUAUUGGACAAUGGGCGCAAGCCUGAUCCAGCCAUACCGCGUGGGUGAAGAAGGCCUUCGGGUUGUAAAGCCCUUUUGUUGGGAAAGAAAAGCAGCAGGUUAAUACCCCGCUGUUCUGACGGUACCCAAAGAAUAAGCACCGGCUAACUUCGUG